AACGAACGCUGGCGGCAUGCCUAACACAUGCAAGUCGAACGAGACCUUCGGGUCUAGUGGCGCACGGGUGCGUAACACGUGGGAAUUUGCCUCGGGGUAUGGAAUAAACUCAGGGAAACUUGAGCUAAUACCAUAUAAUGUCUUCGGACCAAAGAUUUAUCGCCCUGAGAUAAGCCCGCGUAGGAUUAGCUAGUUGGUGGGGUAAAGGCUCACCAAGGCGACGAUCCUUAGCUGGUCUGAGAGGAUGAUCAGCCACACUGGGACUGAGACACGGCCCAGACUCCUACGGGAGGCAGCAGUGGGAAUAUUGGACAAUGGCGAAGCCUGAUCCAGCAAUGCCGCGUGAGUGAUG
Molecule: ribosomal RNA, 352 nt
Filed under: uncultured bacterium
Lineage: Bacteria
Description: bacterial SSU rRNA
Rfam family: Bacterial small subunit ribosomal RNA
Source: RNAcentral